This 1006-nucleotide long non-coding RNA is filed under the name Ornithorhynchus anatinus (platypus). Its description in RNAcentral is "lncRNA (ENSOANG00000047946.1)". Lineage: Eukaryota; Metazoa; Chordata; Mammalia; Monotremata; Ornithorhynchidae. The record is from RNAcentral.
CGACACCAUAACUCUCCAUUCCCCCAGAGAGCAAAAUGUUCUUUCCCCCUACCUUUCCGCUUUGAGGUUUUCUCUCCAGGAUUUAAAAGUGACAUUGAAAGCAGCACUGUGUUCUAAAAAUAUAACUGCCAUUUCUAAAAGGCUUGCACAGUUUUGCCUGCCUAUUAUACCGCGAUGCUGCUCUACUAUUAGAGUUGGAAAACAAAAUUUCACCCACAAAGCAACCAUUUUGUGGCUUGAUGAAUGGCGACAAAGGUUUUAUAUGACAAGGUUUUGUCAUUUCCUAAUUUUCCUCUCUAUAUGAGCAAACAUGCUUGGGGAUGGAGAUGCGACACGUUGCUCUGAAUGGAAUUCUCCCUAAUAUCUCUCUUCAACUUGGAACUGUUCCUUAAGAUCUUCAAGUUACUCUUGCUAAUGUGGCUUCUGCCAUCUGGUGGCUGAGAGCUAUUUUUUGCCAUCCUGUCUCCAGGAGCCUCAAGUUCAUACCCCUUGGUGGUGAUGCGUGUCAUAGCACAGCCUGACUGCCAAUCAAGUCUUUUAACAUCUUCCUGAAACUAUUCUUGGAGAGCAGGAACUGAAAAUAAGUGAGAUGAAAAUAACUUAUCCUGGCCAAAAUGGCCACUUCCUGUAGAAGAAUCGAGCCUUCACUGAGAGAGAGAGAGAGAGAGAGAAUGCUAUCUCUUCAUUUCGCUACUGAAAAUCUGCAAUUAGCUCUGGCCUGUUGCUGAGACAACAUGCAGAAGACAUGUGGAAACUACAGCCUCCACUCUGCAGGAAAUGCAGCCUGCCCCCGAUAUAGGAGCUGCAGGGGAGGUGAAUCCCUCCCAGCCACCACCUCCAUCCAUGGAGGAGCUGAAAUCUGCAGCUGUGAAGAAGCAAUGACCCCCCCCAGCUACCCUACUCAAGAGAUUCUGAGCUCAGUUUUGGAUGCCGGGCAGAGCAAAGCUGCAUUAAUGAAGCCACGAGAAAGCCCUAACCCCAGUGACAACCCCUGCAAGAAGGCUGG